GGGACUGUAGCUCAGAGGAUAGAGCAACGUAAAAACACUUUACCAGAUUUUAACCUGUACACAGGUGUGAUGAUAAAGUUACUUCGCUUGGGGCCGUUGGUCGCCGGUUCGAAUCCGGCCAGUCUCU
Molecule: transfer RNA, 127 nt
Filed under: Elizabethkingia ursingii
Lineage: Bacteria; Pseudomonadati; Bacteroidota; Flavobacteriia; Flavobacteriales; Weeksellaceae
Also listed under: 1 other name
Description: tRNA-OTHER
Rfam family: tRNA
About the family: Transfer RNA (tRNA) molecules are approximately 80 nucleotides in length. Their secondary structure includes four short double-helical elements and three loops (D, anti-codon, and T loops).
Source: RNAcentral